RNAcentral lists this transfer RNA (810 nucleotides) under Paramuricea clavata. The record is from RNAcentral. Lineage: Eukaryota; Metazoa; Cnidaria; Anthozoa; Malacalcyonacea; Plexauridae.
AUCGGAACAGAAUCUAGUUCCUUCGAUACCAAUGUUUUCUAGUAAUAUGAAUUUUUUUUUCUGUGUUGGUGUAGUGUACUCAGGUGAAUAUGAUAUUUGUGGUGUUACUCUGAGUGCAUAUCCACACCGGGCGAGCUUGAAAAAUAUGCCCGGCCACGGUGGGAUUCGAACCCACGACCUUUGGAAUACUAGCCCAAUGCUCUUCCAACUGAGCUACGCGGUCAGGACGGUUCGAGUAAGUGAUAUUUCGGAACAGAAUCUAGUUCCUUCAAUACCAAUGUAUUCUAGUAANNNNNNNNNNNNNNNNNNNNUCUCAUCUUUUGCAUGGACUUUCCAACAAUAAAGCCACUGGCAUCGAUAAAAUCUCUUCCAAAAUUAUUAAAUUAGCUGCACCUGUUAUCUCAGAUUCACUGACACUUAUUUUCAAUCAGGCUAUUACUUUAUCUUCUUUUCCUGAUGAAUGGAAGGUUGCUAGAGUGAUGCCUCUAUAUAAAAAUGGCCAGCGUAGUAUUCCUGGAAACUACAGACCAAUAUCAGUUUUACCGGCCAUUAGUAAAAUUAUGGAACGGAUAUUGUAUGAUCAACUGUAUAACUAUUUAACAAAAUUUGAGCUUCUCAGUGAUUCCCAAUUUGGAUUUCGAAAAUUUCACUCUACAGCUAGUGCACUACUAGACUGUACUAAUGAUUGGUAUGUAAAUCUAGACAGAAAAAUGUUUAACCUAGUAGUUUUAAUUGAUUUGAAGAAAGCCUUUGAUACUGUUGAUCAUCAAAUUCUGCUGAACAAAUUAGAGCUCUAUGGAAUAAAAGGAC